This 120-nucleotide ribosomal RNA is filed under the name Petromyzon marinus (sea lamprey). The record is from RNAcentral. Lineage: Eukaryota; Metazoa; Chordata; Hyperoartia; Petromyzontiformes; Petromyzontidae.
CCUACGACCCACAAAUCACCCUGAAAGCACCAGAUCCCGUCGGAUCUCAGAAGCCAAGCAGGUCUUUAGCCUGGUUAGUAUGCGGACGGCGGACUGCCCGGGAAUACCGGCUGCUCAGGC